RNAcentral lists this ribosomal RNA (412 nucleotides) under uncultured Neonectria. RNAcentral's name for it is "eukaryotic LSU rRNA". The stretch from base 123 to 276 matches the Rfam family "5.8S ribosomal RNA". The record is from RNAcentral. Lineage: Eukaryota; Fungi; Ascomycota; Sordariomycetes; Hypocreales; Nectriaceae.
CCAAACCCCUGUGAACAUACCUAUUUGUUGCCUCGGCGGUGCCUGUUCCGACAGCCCGCCAGAGGACCCCAAACCCUGAUUACAUUUAAGAAGUCUUCUGAGUAAACCGAUUAAAUAAAUCAAACUUUCAACAACGGAUCUCUUGGUUCUGGCAUCGAUGAAGAACGCAGCGAAAUGCGAUAAGUAAUGUGAAUUGCAGAAUUCAGUGAAUCAUCGAAUCUUUGAACGCACAUUGCGCCCGCUAGUAUUCUGGCGGGCAUGCCUGUCCGAGCGUCAUUUCAACCCUCAAGCCCCCGGGCUUGGUGUUGGGGAUCGGCGAGCCUCCGCGCCCGCCGUCCCCUAAAUCUAGUGGCGGACACGCUAGGUCUCCGAGCGCAGUAGUUUCUCCUCGCUCAGGGCGUCCGGCGUGGGC